UGGGGAAUAUUGCACAAUGGGGGAAACCCUGAUGCAGCGACGCCGCGUGAGUGAAGAAGUAUCUCGGUACGUAAAGCUCUAUCAGCAGGGAAGAAAAUGACGGUACCUGACUAAGAAGCCCCGGCUAACUACGUGCCAGCAGCCGCGGUAAUACGUAGGGGGCAAGCGUUAUCCGGAUUUACUGGGUGUAAAGGGAGCGUAGACGGCAGCACAAGUCUGGAGUGAAAUCCCGGGGCUUAACCCCGGAACUGCUUUGGAAACUGUGCGGCCGGAGUGCAGGAGGGGUAAGCGGAAUUCCUAGUGUAGCGGUGAAAUGCGUAGAUAUUAGGAGGAACACCGGUGGCGAAGGCGGCUUACUGGACUGUAACUGACGUUGAGGCUCGAAAGCGUGGGGAGCAAACAGG
Molecule: ribosomal RNA, 404 nt
Filed under: uncultured bacterium
Lineage: Bacteria
Description: bacterial SSU rRNA
Rfam family: Bacterial small subunit ribosomal RNA
Source: RNAcentral